AUUGAACGCUGGCGGCAGGCCUAACACAUGCAAGUCGAACGGUAACAGGAAGAAGCUUGCUUCUUUGCUGACGAGUGGCGGACGGGUGAGUAAUGUCUGGGAAACUGCCUGAUGGAGGGGGAUAACUACUGGAAACGGUAGCUAAUACCGCAUAAUGUCGCAAGACCAAAGAGGGGGACCUUCGGGCCUCUUGCCAUCGGAUGUGCCCAGAUGGGAUUAGGUAGUAGGUGGGGUAACGGCUCACCUAGGCGACGAUCCCUAGCUGGUCUGAGAGGAUGACCAGCCACACUGGAACUGAGACACGCUCCAGACUCCUACGGGAGGCAGCAGUGGGGAAUAUUGCACAAUGGGCGCAAGCCUGAUGCAGCUAUGCCGCGUGUAUGAAGAAGGCCUUCGGGUUGUAAAGUACUUUCAGCGGGGAGGAAGGGAGUAAAGUUAAUACCUUUGCUCAUUGACGUUACCCGCAGAAGAAGCACCGGCUAACUCCGUG
This 490-nucleotide ribosomal RNA is filed under the name uncultured bacterium. RNAcentral's name for it is "partial 16S ribosomal RNA". It matches the Rfam family "Bacterial small subunit ribosomal RNA", at positions 30 to 507 of the family's 1533-position model. The record is from RNAcentral.